AACGAACGCUGGCGGCAGGCCUAACACAUGCAAGUCGAACGCUCGUAGCAAUACGAGAGUGGCAGACGGGUGAGUAACACGUGGGAACCUUCCCUAUGGUUCGGAAUAGCUCAGGGAAACUUGAGGUAAUACCGGAUAAGCCCUUCGGGGAAGGAUUUAUCGCCAUUGGAGUGGGCCCGCGUCGGAUUAGCUAGUUGGUGAGGUAACGGGCUCACCAAGGCAACGAUCCGUAGCUGGUCNGAGAGGAUGAUCAGCCACACUGGGACUGAGACACGGCCCAGACUCCUACGGGAGGCAGCAGUGGGGAAUAUUGGACAAUGGGCGCAAGCCUGAUCCAGCCAUGCCGCGUGAGUGACGAAGUCUUCGAUUGUAAAACUCUUUUGGCGGGGACGAUAAUGACGGUACCCGCAGAAUAA
This 416-nucleotide ribosomal RNA is filed under the name uncultured bacterium. RNAcentral describes it as "bacterial SSU rRNA". It matches the Rfam family "Bacterial small subunit ribosomal RNA", at positions 29 to 489 of the family's 1533-position model. The record is from RNAcentral.